This is a long non-coding RNA of Oryzias melastigma (Indian medaka), 741 nucleotides long. RefSeq lists it as uncharacterized. The transcript is spliced from 2 exons. NCBI's taxonomy places the organism in Eukaryota, Metazoa, Chordata, Actinopteri, Beloniformes, Adrianichthyidae. The record is from RefSeq and is a predicted model, not a curated record.
UGGGUGAAGGCGGGGUUCACCUGGACAGGUAGUCUCACAGACUAGCAGAGCCGGAGUCUCUGGUGAGAACCGCGGCAUUCUUGCUGUGAGGCAGGAGUGCUAACCACUGUACCACCGUGCCGCCUCUUUAUCGACUUCAUCAGCCUAAACCUUUUCAGGUUUCUCCUCCGCUUUCCCUCCUUCAAACUGACCCUGCCCGGACCCCGUAGACCGGGACUCACCGGGGGUGUUGGUGGAGAACCGCGCCCGGCGGGGGGCGGCCUCCUCCGGCGGCAGCUGGAAGGCGGCGGCGCAGAGGGUGAGGAGGAGCAGCGGACAGGAGGCGCGCAGCAUCUUCCCGCGGAGGAGGAGCAGGAGCAGGUGGAGGUGCAGGUGGAGGUGGAGCAGGAGGUGCAGCAGGAGGUGAUGCUGGAGCAGGAGGUGCAGCAGGAGGUGAUGAGGACGGAGGAGGUCCGCUGAUUCUGGAGUCUCCUCUCCCGACGCUCCUUUUUAUCCGGCUCCCGCCGCGCACGGACCAAUCAGCGCGCGGGACGUUUCCACACCGGCGGGAAUUUCCGAGACUUUUUCAUGUUUUCCCACAGAAAUAAAAGCUUGAACUGAAGUUCCGGUUCUGGACGGAUCCAGAUCCUCCAUCAGAAUAAAAGUCUGUUCGGAGACUUUGGUUCAACAAACGGGACGAAAAGUCCCGAAAUGAUUAAAUAUUUACCCGCUGGUGUCACACCUGGACCCCACGUGACGUCA